AUUGAACGCUGGCGGCAUGCCUUACACAUGCAAGUCGAACGGUAACAGGUCCUCGGAUGCUGACGAGUGGCGAACGGGUGAGUAAUACAUCGGAACGUGCCUAGUAGUGGGGGAUAACUACUCGAAAGAGUGGCUAAUACCGCAUGAGAUCUACGGAUGAAAGCAGGGGAGCGCAAGACCUUGUGCUACUAUAGCGGCCGAUGGCAGAUUAGGUAGUUGGUGGGAUAAAAACUUACCAAGCCGACGAUCUGUAGCUGGUCUGAGAGGACGAUCAGCCACACUGGGACUGAGACACGGCCCAGACUCCUACGGGAGGCAGCAGUGGGGAAUUUUGGACAAUGGGCGCAAGCCUGAUCCAGCAAUGCCGCGUGCAGGAUGAAGGCCUUCGGGUUGUAAACUGCUUUUGUACGGAACGAAAAGCCCCGGGUUAAUACCCUGGGGUCAUGACGGUACCGUAAGAAUAAGCACCGGCUAACUACGUGCCAGCAGCCGCCGCGG
RNAcentral lists this ribosomal RNA (498 nucleotides) under uncultured bacterium. Its description in RNAcentral is "partial 16S ribosomal RNA". It matches the Rfam family "Bacterial small subunit ribosomal RNA", at positions 30 to 523 of the family's 1533-position model. The record is from RNAcentral.